CACUGCCGAGAAAAGCCUCUAGAUAGAAAAUAGGUGCCCGUACCGCAAACCGACACAGGUAGUCAAGAUGAGAAUUCUAAGGUGAGCGAGCGAACUCUCGUUAAGGAACUCGGCAAAAUGACCCCGUAACUUCGGGAGAAGGGGUGCUCUUUAGGGUUAACGCCCAGAAGAGCCGCAGUGAAUAGGCCCAAGCGACUGUUUAUCAAAAACACAGGUCUCUGCUAAACCGUAAGGUGAUGUAUAGGGGCUGACGCCUGCCCGGUGCUGGAAGGUUAAGAGGAGUGGUUAGCUUCUGCGAAGCUACGAAUCGAAGCCCCAGUAAACGGCGGCCGUAACUAUAACGGUCCUAAGGUAGCGAAAUUCCUUGUCGGGUAAGUUCCGACCCGCACGAAAGGCGUAACGAUUUGGGCACUGUCUCAACGAGAGACUCGGUGAAAUCAUAGUACCUGUGAAGAUGCAGGUUACCCGCGACAGGACGGAAAGACCCCGUGGAGCUUUACUGUAGCCUGAUAUUGAAAUUCGGCACAGCUUGUACAGGAUAGGUAGGAGCCUUUGAAACGUGAGCGCUAGCUUACGUGGAGGCGCUGGUGGGAUACUACCCUAGCUGUGUUGGCUUUCUAACCCGCACCACUUAUCGUGGUGGGAGACAGUGUCAGGC
This 658-nucleotide ribosomal RNA is filed under the name Staphylococcus aureus. RNAcentral describes it as "partial 23S ribosomal RNA". It matches the Rfam family "Bacterial large subunit ribosomal RNA", at positions 1603 to 2262 of the family's 2925-position model. The record is from RNAcentral. Lineage: Bacteria; Bacillati; Bacillota; Bacilli; Caryophanales; Staphylococcaceae.